UUUACUUUCUGAGGGUUUGUGACCUCAGGAUGAACCCCACCAAGACCCCACAUUUCCAAGCUCUUCUUUAUUAUCCUGUAUUUUAAGAUGACUUUCGAGAUCUGCAGAAGAAAGGCCUCUCUGACAAACAUUUGUUUCUCCAGGAGCUCCAGUUCUAAAUGAAACCUCAAAUAUCGUGGGAGCUGGAAACCCGAAACCCCAGAGUUUGUACCAAGAACCUGCUGGAUUGAGCAGCGGGGCUCUGAAUAUCCUCAUUCAUCUCCAGAAUCACCAUCAGCUGCCUCUGUGACUGCAGAGCCCCAAAAUUAUGGAAGUUUGCACAAACAGCCCCUCACACUGUGAAUUAAACCCCUUUUUCCUUGGUUUUGAGCACUCAUGGAUGGAACUUCCGUCGUGUUUCACAGAUAACAAAAUCGCAUGGCCAGCCCAGGAGGAUCCUGAGCACUCCCACCCAUCCCAGAAGGGCUCUGGAGGAUGGGGCUGGGAGAAGAUGCUGUUCUCUGGCUGUGGAACAAGAGCAGAGCUGGACAUGCCACUCCUCAGGACUCAGUGAUGAUUGCCACACAAUUAACACAAACUCAUGUCUUCAGAACUUCUCCCCUGUGAUCAGGUUUGACCGAGGUGCUCGGCAGCUUCUAGAAUGGAGGAUGGACUGAGAGGAAACAUAACCUU
This is a long non-coding RNA of Zonotrichia albicollis (white-throated sparrow), 672 nucleotides long. Lineage: Eukaryota; Metazoa; Chordata; Aves; Passeriformes; Passerellidae. The record is from Ensembl.